GCGGCAGCGGGGGGAAGCUUGCUCUCCCGCGCCGGCGAGCGGCGGACGGGUGAGUAAUGUCUGGGGAUCUGCCUGAUGGAGGGGGAUAACUACUGGAAACGGUAGCUAAUACCGCAUGACGUCGCAAGACCAAAGUGGGGGACCUUCGGGCCUCACGCCAUCGGAUGAACCCAGAUGGGAUUAGCUGGUAGGUGGGGUAACGGCUCACCUAGGCGACGAUCCCUAGCUGGUCUGAGAGGAUGACCAGCCACACUGGAACUGAGACACGGUCCAGACUCCUACGGGAGGCAGCAGUGGGGAAUAUUGCACAAUGGGGGAAACCCUGAUGCAGCCAUGCCGCGUGUGUGAAGAAGGCCUUCGGGUUGUAAAGCACUUUCAGCGGGGAGGAAGGGAGCAGGGUUAAUAACCUUGUUCAUUGACGUUACCCGCAGAAGAAGCACCGGCUAACUCCGUGCCAGCAGCCGCGGUAAUACGGAGGGUGCAAGCGUUAAUCGGAAUGACUGGGCGUAAAGCGCACGCAGGCGGUCUGUUAAGUUGGAUGUGAAAUCCCCGGGCUUAACCUGGGAACUGCAUUCAAAACUGACAGGCUAGAGUCUCGUAGAGGGGGGUAGAAUUNCCAGGUGUAGCGGUGAAAUGCGUAGAGAUCUGGAGGAAUACCGGUGGCGAAGGCGGCCCCCUGGACGAAGACUGACGCUCAGGUGCGAAAGCGUGGGGGAGCAAACAGGAUUAGAUACCCUGGUAGUCCACGCUGUAAACGAUGUCGAUUUGGAGGUUGUGCCCUUGAGGCGUGGCUUCCGGAGCUAACGCGUUAAAUCGACCGCCUGGGGAGUACGGCCGCAAGGUUAAAACUCAAAUGAAUUGACGGGGGCCCGCACAAGCGGUGGAGCAUGUGGUUUAAUUCGAUGCAACGCGAAGAACCUUACCUACUCUUGACAUCCAGAGAAGACUGCAGAGAUGCGGUUGUGCCUUCGGGAGCUCUGAGACAGGUGCUGCAUGGCUGUCGUCAGCUCGUGUUGUGAAAUGUUGGGUUAAGUCCCGCAACGAGCGCAACCCUUAUCCUCUGUUGCCAGCACGUUAUGGUGGGAACUCAGGGGAGACUGCCGGUGAUAAACCGGAGGAAGGUGGGGAUGACGUCAAGUCAUCAUGGCCCUUACGAGUAGGGCUACACACGUGCUACAAUGGCGCAUACAAAGAGAAGCGACCUCGCGAGAGCAAGCGGACCUCAUAAAGUGCGUCGUAGUCCGGAUUGGAGUCUGCAACUCGACUCCAUGAAGUCGGAAUCGCUAGUAAUCGUAGAUCAGAAUGCUACGGUGAAUACGUUCCCGGGCCUUGUACACACCGCCCGUCACACCAUGGGAGUGGGUUGCAAAAGAAGUAGGUAGCUUAACCUUCGGGAGGGCGCUUACCACUUUGUGAUUCAUGACUGGGGNGAAGUC
Molecule: ribosomal RNA, 1436 nt
Filed under: Dickeya dianthicola
Lineage: Bacteria; Pseudomonadati; Pseudomonadota; Gammaproteobacteria; Enterobacterales; Pectobacteriaceae
Description: bacterial SSU rRNA
Rfam family: Bacterial small subunit ribosomal RNA
Source: RNAcentral